Molecule: long non-coding RNA, 958 nt
Filed under: Mytilus galloprovincialis (Mediterranean mussel)
Lineage: Eukaryota; Metazoa; Mollusca; Bivalvia; Mytilida; Mytilidae
Source: RNAcentral
GUGUAUUUUGAGGAUGUACUUUGAAGCACAUAUACUUACUUACAUACUGAAAGCUAGAAUUGUGUGCUCAUUAAGCAGAUAGAGAGAGAGAGAGAAUUAUAUGAACUUUGCAUGAUUGCAUGAGGUAAAACAUAAAAGACCAGGUCUUUUAUUUCCCCUUUGUUGGCAGGGUUAUAUAAAAUCAAAAACCAGUCUAUAGUACAGUGAUGUCAAGUGGGCAGGCUUGCAGGGAAAAUUGGGUACAAUUGAGUAAUCAACCCCUUCUAUAGUUUUUGACCCAGAUCCCUGAAACUAGGGAACUUUUUGUAUAAAGAAUUUCUUCCCAGUUUUCUGGACUUUAGAACUAAUUAGUCAUUUUUCAGUAAACUUAAGAAAGGAAAGUACAAGUUCUAUGUAAUCCUACAGUUUUCAACCAAGAUCCCGGAAAUUUUACAGGAAGCUUGCACACAUGUGCACUUGCUAUUAUGGAAUUGUUCGAAGAAUUUUUUCCCAGUUUUCCAGUCUUGGGAACUUAGACAUUUUUUAGCAAAAUUAAAAAAGGAAGGUAAAGUUUUGUGUAAUCAACUCCUCCAACAGCUUUCAACCCAGAUCCUUGAAAUUUAAUAGGAACAUUGUACACAUGUUGAUGUUGUGUACCUACUAAUAUCAAAUUUUUCCAGACUUUGGAACUUAGUCAUUUUUAGCAAAAUUUACAAAGAAGUGAUUAAGUCUUGUGUACUCGACUCCUCCUACAGUUUUCAACCCAAAUCAAUGAUACUUAACAGAAAGAUUGUACACCUGUUGAAGUUAUGCACCUGCUUUUAUGGAAUAGUUUGAAGAAUUUUUACACUUUUUCUUGACUGGGGAACUUUUGUUAUUAGCUUCUCGUACAGUUAACAAUUAAGAUCCUUUUCAAACAUUACAAAAACAAACCCGGCCAAUUGAGACUCUUAACUUAUUUUUUUACAAUUUUUUAAUG